AUUACCCCCUGUAGGCUGAAAAGCCGUAGUGGGGGGAAUGGCUCAGAUAUCCCCAGGAAACAGGAGAGUGAGGUGUGCAGAGAAUGGUGUCUGAGAUUGGAGAGGGCAGGCUGCUUGUAGGAGGAAACAGGGGGAAGGUCAGAGAGUCGAUGCUGAGGAUGGCAGCUUCCAAGGUGUUUCAAAUGAGAACCCCAGUUGCUGUUCCUCACUCCAUGGGAGAGAAGCCUGAUGAGAGUGUGAGUGAAGGAGCAGUGAAUCCAGAAGGCUUCCCUUGUGUGGUGAAGAUGGACAGCUGCUGAUAGAAGACACUGCAUCAAAGAUAUCCUGGGUGAUUUACAGCCUUCUCAAAUGGCACUGGGCACCUGUGCAUUGGACAGAAACCCUGGCCUUUGCUUUGUGAAUCAGCACCCUCCUUAAAAGCCGCAACAAUGUGGUCAUGGCCGCAGCCAAGCAUGGUAGCAGUGAGCAAGUUGGACAAAUCUUUGAACAGGAUGAUUGAAGUGUUUUGGUUUGGUUUGGUUGGAAGACUGUACUAGCUUGCCAGGGGGAAUUCAGAGGAAAGCAGAAUAUUUUCCCAAAGAGAAGUAAGCCUGAAAACUGCGAGGUUCGAGACUAAGCAGUCUGUUGCUGCGUGAAUUUGGAGGCAUUUCCAAGUCCUGUUGGCCAGUGAAGGAGUUUCCAAAUGUCCUCUCUAAAUGCCCAGUGAAGUCAUAUGCUCCAUGUGAAAAGCUUACAGAAAAGCUUCCUCCAAUACUUCCCAUCAGCUGGGUGCCUUUUUGUCACUGGUGGCAGUGGCUGCUGAGGAAAAAGCUACUGUGCAUAUGCAGGAAAGCAAUUUUGCAAGCUCCAGCCCAGGGCACAGCAGUGCAUGCUUUGUGCAGUUGACCUGUGUAUGUGCAGCAUGCAUGGAGUGACACUGAAUCUCAAGGCAUGAAAUGUGAUUUCUCUGCUAUCAUCAGGACUCCCAUUUACUACAGGCUCCAUUGUCCCAGAAAUCCUUAUGACAGCCUUGUUGUGUAGAAAGGCAGUUGUCAGGGCAAGCACCUCAAAAGGGAGCUGGGACAGAAGCAGUGGGCAAAGCUCAGCAAAUAAAGAGCUUUGGCUGGCACUGACCUGCAGCUGGAGGUAAAAUGAGCAGGAGGAGCAGAGAUGCUGCUCAGCAUUUGUGCACCGUAAGGGCAGCAUGUGACUACUGAUAGAAGGCAGAGAAGACAAGGACCUACUGUCGCAGAGGAGACACUGCUGCAAAGAGAGUACACUACUGCAAGGUAUACAGCUCUUCGGGUGGGAGCUGAACUGCAGCAUGGUGGGAGAUCUGCAGCCUUUCAAGGCUUUGAACUGCGGUGUGGCAUUGGGAGGGGCCCAGCACCACUCCGGUGCCUCUGGGUAUCUCUGCUGGAUUCAUCCAGGCCUGACUUUCAUUUCUGUCAGCAACAGGAAACCACUUACAGGGUGGGGAUUUGAAAGAAGUAGAGGAAGUUCCUUAUUCUUUUUUACUCUCCUCUGUAUCUUUGCUGAUGUUGAAAAUGGAGGAUCAACUUUCAUCAUCAAAUGUGAUUUCAUUUUUCACUCCUGUUGAGAAUGGCAGAAUAUUUUGCGUGGUUCUCAUCUUGGCCUGGAGGAAACACUAGAAAACUGGAUGAGAUCCAAGCAGUUCAGAUACCACGACUCAGAGGAGCAUUUGCAAAGGAGUGGGUGCUCAUCUGUUGUGCAUUGGCAGGUUCCCUUGAACUCAGUAGUACUCAUCUGAUUUAUACCAGUCACAGUGGUGCCCUGCAAACCUCGAGUUAUUUGUCUAUGCUGUCUUUGCCAAGCUUCCAAACCUGUUGACUUGAACUUUCAGUGGUUGCAUUCCAAGUGCUCUCACUCCACCCUUCCUGGCAAUAGGUAUCCAUGUAGCUCCGUGUGAUGGCCGUGGGAACUGCUGAUGUAUAUCCUACUGAAGAACAGAGCAUUGGUGUCUGGAUCCUGCUGUUUUGCAGAGUCAAGGCUUGAGGCACUCGGCCACUGGUGCUGAGGUGAAGGGCAGUGAGUUGGACAGAAGUCAUUCAGGAUCAGAGUGGUGGCCUAACUUAUCUGGGAUCUUGGCUCUGAAAAUGGCUAGUGCUAACUGCUGUGGAGGAAACUGCCUCAUUUUCUCCUAUUAUUUAAUUCUGAUAUGAAGCAACCCUUUUUUUCUCAACAGGAAGAAUAUCUGUUUCUGAAAAAAGGAUUUGACUUUGCACUACUCAUUCUGUAGUCCCCAAACUUUUUACAGCUCUUGAAGUUUUUGUGCUGUCUUUUUGUGUAUUUAGAAGACAGUAGGGGAAUGGAUAAAAAAAAUAUUAAAGCUUCCUCCAAAUUCUU
This is a long non-coding RNA of Hirundo rustica (Barn swallow), 2346 nucleotides long. RefSeq lists it as uncharacterized. The record is from RefSeq and is a predicted model, not a curated record. The transcript is spliced from 5 exons. NCBI's taxonomy places the organism in Eukaryota, Metazoa, Chordata, Aves, Passeriformes, Hirundinidae.